Mauremys reevesii (Reeves's turtle) is the source of this 700-nucleotide long non-coding RNA. RefSeq lists it as uncharacterized. The transcript has 3 exons. NCBI's taxonomy places the organism in Eukaryota, Metazoa, Chordata, Testudines, Geoemydidae. The record is from RefSeq and is a predicted model, not a curated record.
CCUGGAGCUAUUCCCCACGUGGGACAGUUAAUCAUCAACUCUCCUUACUCAUGGAUUCUGCCUAAGGCCACAAUCUAACGCUAAUACAAUUCUGAUUUUGGAUUGAGGCUAGUUAAGCAUAAAGAUGGUGAACUGAGACACACAGAAUAUUGAGUUCAGCGUCACUGAUGAAGUCCAUGGCAAAGCUGGAAACAAAACCCAGAUUUCCUGACCACCAAGAUCACAGACCAUGUGAGAGGGUUCACUGUGGUGCCUCCUGCUGCCUGUCCUGGGGAUUAGCUCUGUUUGCCAGUACAGGGAGAUUAUGUUUCUCCAGAAAGCUCGUGUCUGGUGACCACUUUGCAUGGUCCUUUAUUAAGAAGGAGGGAUUCGUUACAUUAAAGAAUCAAAGGAAAUGAAGCAUGACAUUCAGAACCAGAUCACGGUGUGGUGCUGCCAUCAUUCGGAACAGGCUGGGGUGUGAUGUUGGAGCAAGCUUCCUGCACAUAUCAGAGAAAGAGGAGACAGAAGGGGAUGUGGCUUGAAGCGCCCUGCAACCUUGAAAUACUGCAGCACAUUGAGACUUUGGAAUAUGCCUGAAUCAGAGUCACAGGCUGGGCUGAAGGUGAUCAGAUUUAAAUAAAGCAACUGGAAAGAUCAACGAGAGUGGCUAAGAUGCAUCAGUAGAGGAGGUAUUGGAACAAAUUCAUAAAUUAAACAG